CUGUGAUGCCCUUAGAUGUUCUGGGCUGCACGCGUACUACAAUGGAACUCGCAUCGAGUCGCGAAACUGAGAAGUUAAGCGAAUCUUGGAAUGUGUUCCGUGACCGGGACAGUUGAUUGCAAUUAUUCAACUCGAACGAGGAA
This 143-nucleotide ribosomal RNA is filed under the name uncultured eukaryote. Its description in RNAcentral is "partial 18S ribosomal RNA". It matches the Rfam family "Eukaryotic small subunit ribosomal RNA", at positions 1462 to 1610 of the family's 1831-position model. The record is from RNAcentral.